This is a non-coding RNA of Sarcophilus harrisii (Tasmanian devil), 160 nucleotides long. The record is from Rfam. Lineage: Eukaryota; Metazoa; Chordata; Mammalia; Dasyuromorphia; Dasyuridae.
UUCUUGGCUGCUUGUGGGAGUGGUGCUAACUAUAUCUUGUUUACCUUAACUUUCUUUGGAAAAAGUUUUGAAGUUUGUUUGGGGUGUCAUAUCUUGGUUGUUCCCCAGCACUGAAAAGUGUUGUUAUCUAACAACAAACACUAGCACACACUUUUAUUGC